Molecule: ribosomal RNA, 253 nt
Filed under: uncultured bacterium
Lineage: Bacteria
Description: partial 16S ribosomal RNA
Rfam family: Bacterial small subunit ribosomal RNA
Source: RNAcentral
UACAGAGGUGGCAAGCGUUGUUCGGAAUUACUGGGCGUAAAGGGCGCGUAGGCGGCCUUCUAAGUCAGACGUGAAAUCCCCCGGCUUAACCUGGGAACUGCGUCUGAUACGGGCAAGCUAGAAUUCGGUAGGGGAGACUGGAAUUCCUGGUGUAGCGGUGAAAUGCGCAGAUAUCAGGAGGAACACCGGUGGCGAAGGCGGGUCUCUGGGCCGAAAUUGACGCUGAGGAGCGAAAGCGUGGGGAGCAAACAGG